GCAUCUACAACAAUCAGCUUGCUGGCUGUGAUAUAUUUUAGCCCUCCAGUCAGCAAACCAUGUUUAUUAAGGUUUCCCCAAAGGUUAUAAAGAGUGUGUAGCAUCUCACCGGGGAGCGGGUGACACGCCUGCUGCCCUUUCCCUGCUCAUGGUGGCUACAUCGUCUGAUGACUCCGCAAGUCUUUUCUUAGCUACAGGAGGGCCAGACC
Molecule: long non-coding RNA, 209 nt
Filed under: Bos taurus (domestic cattle)
Lineage: Eukaryota; Metazoa; Chordata; Mammalia; Artiodactyla; Bovidae
Description: long non-coding RNA NONBTAT023938
Source: RNAcentral